UAUGGGGUGGACAACCGUAAGUUUCUGAAUAGAUUUCCAUUCGGAUGAAAUGCACUUGGCCAGGUUAUCACUUAGAAGCUGUCUUCAAGGAAGUAUAGAGGGAGUCCUUGUGAAUGUCUGGGUAAAGAAGCCACAGAUUCUGUUUCCCAGAGGAGUCAAGAGAAGUAGCAAGAUCUCCCCAAAAAUGCAAAACCAUUGAGCUGUUUUUCUAGAAGUGAUGUCAUAACAUCAUUACUUUGAGGUGGACUUCUCCAUCCUUUUCCCACUGAGCUGAGGCCAGAGAGGAAGUAUUUCAGCUUUGCUCUACAUGGAUCAGGUCAGAGCCAUCCAGGAGCCCUGCCACAAGUGGGGAGGCCAGCACCUGAGGGGUGAUUCUGACACAGUUGGAAAACCGUGCAGAAUAGGAGUUCUCCCAAGGAAGUAAAGGAGCUAGACUGUCUCGGUGACAUGAGCACAGAGGUGAAGUGUGUCCGUGGUUUGUUUAGUUUGGAAUUUUAAAGCUCCACCAAAAAUGAAGGAGGCCUUUUUCUUCUCACUUAUGUUGACAGACUGUUGACUGGCCUUUCACACUAACUUGGUUGGAAAAAGAAGAAGAAGAAAAAAACUUCAGAUGAUCCUAUUUGUGUAAGAAAAAAAAGUCUUCCAAACAACUCCCUUGUCGCCAGCAUCAACAGCAGCUGAACACGGGCUGAGUUGUUACACAGUGAGAAUUAUUCCUUUCAUGUCAAAGGCAUCAGAUGUUUGGGGCAAGCAAAAGCUCUGGCUGGUUAAACAUGAUCAAAAUAAACUAGUAUCACAUUUGCUUACAGAACGCGUUGAUUAAAUCUCCUGCUGCAGUCUGAGUACACUGUUUGUUCCUCCAGAAAGGUUUUAUAAGGAGGGAGGUCAGCUCAAAAAUCUAAGCUGAUUUGUAGAGCCUAAGAAGCGUCUGAAGAUUUUCUCUUUCCAGAAUUCCUUUCUUCUGAUGUAACACUGCUGCAAGUGCGCCUGAGCUGUUGAUGACUUAUAAACAGAAGUCAAAGGGAAUUGGAGCUUCUGUCAAGACCCAUUCCAAAUACAAUAAAA
This is a long non-coding RNA of Mesocricetus auratus (golden hamster), 1065 nucleotides long. RefSeq lists it as uncharacterized. The record is from RefSeq and is a predicted model, not a curated record. Lineage: Eukaryota; Metazoa; Chordata; Mammalia; Rodentia; Cricetidae. The transcript has 4 exons.